RNAcentral lists this unclassified non-coding RNA (1592 nucleotides) under Dimorphilus gyrociliatus. Its description in RNAcentral is "hypothetical protein". The record is from RNAcentral. Lineage: Eukaryota; Metazoa; Annelida; Polychaeta; Dinophilidae.
AGCGGGAAAAUUUCAAGUUUAUUAAUAUGAAAUGUCGUAAACUAUAAUAAAACUGUUUUAAAGUUGAUAGUUAAGAAGCUGAAAAGAAGUUUAUCACUAAAAACUAUUUUUUUAAGACAAAAAGGCAAGAUAGGAUAGUUAUUAAUGUACAAAUUUAUCAGAAUCGAAACUGUUUAAUUUAAUUCUUGAGUAGUAAAAUAAUAAGUUGUGAAGUAAAGUGGUAAACUGGUAAUUAUGGAAUAAUACCAACAAAUACAUAUCAUAAAUGGUUUAAAUCUGAUCUAAGUAAUGCGAUACUUAUGCAAGAAUUCAGUCGGAUAUUAUAUAUAGUGCAAAGCAGAUACAUGCGAGAGAAGCGACACCUAUGCAACAUAAAAGUCGACGAAGGUGUUAGAGCAUCUAGUCGCUCUCGUGAAUGGCUAACGGAAGUCGGGAAAAGAUAACAAUCGUCGUAUUGGGAGCGUCAGGCGUUGGAAAGACAUCACUAAUAGAGCAAUUUUCUAAACAAUGCUUCAAUGACUGUUAUUCACCUACAAGACAGCGUAGUGCUUACUUUGUAAAUGUGCUAAUAAAUGACCGAUUACACGAUGUUCAAAUAAUUGAUCUACCUACGUUGGUUAAUUUUCCAAAAGACGGUGCCUACGAAAAGGAUUAUAAAAAUUUAAGAGAUGCCUCAGCCUAUAUAUUAGUGUUCGAUUGCUCAUCGGAAAAGACUUUUUUGUAUGUUUCGAAAAUUCGAAAGCAGAUACAACAAUGGUCAAAAACCGUCCGUCGUGAAGCACCACCAAUUGCCGUUGUUGGUAAUAAAUAUGAUGUAGCUGGUAUGUCGGCAGCUUUACGAAAAGAAUACGCAAAUCUAAUAAGAAAGCAAUGGAAAUGUGGUUAUUAUGAAACGUCAGCCAAGUUUAAUUGGCAUGUCGUAUUAGUUUUUAAAGAGCUCUUUGUACAAAUGGACCAGAACUCUAAUAAGAAUGCUUCAGUUAAACUGAAUGGUACUUUCCGGACGAGUAAAUGUACGAUUUUGUAAGACGAAAUGAAGAAAAAAGUAAAAACGGCAUUUUCUAUGUCAGUUACUGCAAGAAGGCUUGUAAACAAAUCAUCCCUCGCCAACCAUAAAUGUCAGGACCUUUUUCGCGUGCAGUUAAUGAAGGAGUGGAGGGGGAGCCAGUUCGAUCCAGCGUGAUAGUAAUUAUAAUGUACUUAUACUGACAAACCAUUCAUUAGCUUCAGUUGGCACACCGAUUCUCUGAAAUCUUUCUGUAAUCGAUGAGCGCUUAAUUAGAAAACGGGUUACUUCCCUUUUCCUCCUCUUUUUUAUUUGAUAAACGGUGCCAAAAAAAAAAUGAAAACGAUAAUUCCAUUUCUAUUCUAUGUCUUUAUUUUCUUUUUUUCGAUGUUGGCGGUCGUGAAAUGGAUCAAUCUUCUCGAUCUAGACAGAUCGAUUAUCAUAUAUGUCUACAAAUUGCCUCUUUUUCUUUCCUGUUUUUCACUCAUCCUUUAUAAAAAGAAAACAAGGUUUCCCACCCUCCUCUCUUAUUUAUCAUUUUAAAAGGACGUGUUAGCCCUAAAAUAGUUCCUUUUUGCUUAAAGCG